RNAcentral lists this long non-coding RNA (1130 nucleotides) under Phasianus colchicus (ring-necked pheasant). Its description in RNAcentral is "lncRNA (ENSPCLG00000014543.1)". Lineage: Eukaryota; Metazoa; Chordata; Aves; Galliformes; Phasianidae. The record is from RNAcentral.
AUGGGGAAGUUGCACAGCAAUGCAUCCACCCCACGAGUGAGGCGUCCAGAGCCGCUGCAAGCAGCUCCAGCCUUUCUAGCACACAGUAAACCAAUGUACGGAGCAGUCCGAGGGAACAGCCGCUGCCCUCUUUCUCCUCUUGGUUUUCGCCCCGAAGCCUGGCCAGGGCUCAAGGGGAACAAAAGGCGUCGUGCUGUCAAUCUUGCUGUAGCACGGGCCUCUUUGGCAAGACUGUCUGCCCAGCCCCCCCGCGUCGGGCUUCGUCGGGUAACGAACUCAGCAGCAAAGCGCCGUGACUUCCUCUGCCCGCCCUGGAGCCGCAGCCCGCGAGCUUUCCCGCCCCCGGCCUCCCUCUCAUUGGUCAGCGCCGGCGACGCCGGCUCUCUUCUCGCUCCCCUUCCCUUCAGCUCCCUUGCGGCGUCUCUCCCCUGCCCCGUUCCCGUCCCCUGCCGUUACCUUGCAGCAUCUCCCACCAGUUUCCUUCCCUUCCCCUCCCUUGCGGCGUUUCCCCCCAGUCCCCUUCCCUUCCCGUAUCUCCCUCUGGUCUCCUUCCCUUCCCUUGCAUCAUCUCACCCCGGUUUCCUUCCCUUCUCUUCCCUUGCAGCAUCUCAUACCGGUCCCCUUCCCUUUCGUUCCAGCCUUUCCCCCUGGUCCCCUUCCCUUGUAAUGUCUCACCCUGGUUUCCUUCUCUUCCCUUCCCAUGUGGCAAAUUCUCCCAGUCCCAAUCCCAUUCCCUUCUCUUCCCUUACACGAUUUCCCCUGUCCCCCUCCCUUCCUAUACGGCAUUUCCCCACAGUUGCCUUCCCAUGCCUUCCCUUCCCUUAUGUCAUCUCUCCCAUUUCCAUCCUUUCCCUUCCCUUCCCAUGGGGUGUCUUCUCCUGGUCUCCUUUCUCUUCCAUUACCUUGUGGCAUCUCCCACCAGUUUCUUUCUCUUCCCUUCCCUUCCCGUUGCCCCUUGUGCAAGUCAUGGAAUCGUGCACCAUUAAGUUUCAUUAUUACCAUCAGAACACGCUGGAUGUGAGAGUCACCUUUUUUGCCCCGUUAGUAGGCCAUGACAGAGUUGGAUCUCCUCUGAAAGGACUCUGGGUUCCCACUGCUGCUGUGUGUGUGUCCCUGCAUGGUCCCUGCUG